Molecule: ribosomal RNA, 1445 nt
Filed under: Desikacharya constricta SA10
Lineage: Bacteria; Bacillati; Cyanobacteriota; Cyanophyceae; Nostocales; Nodulariaceae
Also listed under: 1 other name
Description: bacterial SSU rRNA
Rfam family: Bacterial small subunit ribosomal RNA
Source: RNAcentral
CUGCUAAUACCGGAUGUGCCGAGAGGUGAAAGGCUUGCUGCCUGAAGAUGAGCUCGCGUCUGAUUAGCUAGUUGGUGUGGUAAGAGCGCACCAAGGCGACGAUCAGUAGCUGGUUUGAGAGGAUGAUCAGCCACACUGGGACUGAGACCCGGCCCAGACUCCUACGGGAGGCAGCAGUGGGGAAUUUUCCGCAAUGGGCGAAAGCCUGACGGAGCAAUACCGCGUGAGGGAGGAAGGCUCUUGGGUUGUAAACCUCUUUUCUCAAGGAAUAAGUUCUGAAGGUACUUGAGGAAUCAGCAUCGGCUAACUCCGUGCCAGCAGCCGCGGUAAUACGGAGGAUGCAAGCGUUAUCCGGAAUGAUUGGGCGUAAAGCGUCCGCAGGUGGCCCUGUAAGUCUGCUGUUAAAGAGCAAAGCUUAACUUUGUAAAAGCAGUGGAAACUACAGAGCUAGAGUGCGUUCGGGGUAGAGGGAAUUCCUGGUGUAGCGGUGAAAUGCGUAGAGAUCAGGAAGAACACCGGUGGCGAAGGCGCUCUACUAGGCCGCAACUGACACUGAGGGACGAAAGCUAGGGGAGCGAAUGGGAUUAGAUACCCCAGUAGUCCUAGCCGUAAACGAUGGAUACUAGGCGUUGCGAGUAUCGACCCUCGCAGUGCCGGAGCCAACGCGUUAAGUAUCCCGCCUGGGGAGUACGCACGCAAGUGUGAAACUCAAAGGAAUUGACGGGGGCCCGCACAAGCGGUGGAGUAUGUGGUUUAAUUCGAUGCAACGCGAAGAACCUUACCAAGACUUGACAUGUCGCGAAUCCUGCUGAAAGGUGGGAGUGCCUUCGGGAGCGCGAACACAGGUGGUGCAUGGCUGUCGUCAGCUCGUGUCGUGAGAUGUUGGGUUAAGUCCCGCAACGAGCGCAACCCUCGUUUUUAGUUGCCAGCAUUAAGUUGGGCACUCUAGAGAGACUGCCGGUGACAAACCGGAGGAAGGUGGGGAUGACGUCAAGUCAGCAUGCCCCUUACGUCUUGGGCUACACACGUACUACAAUGCGUCGAACAGAGGGCAGCAAGCCGGCAACGGCAAGCAAAUCCCGGAAAUCGGCGCUCAGUUCAGAUCGAAGGCUGCAACUCGCCUUCGUGAAGGAGGAAUCGCUAGUAAUUGCAGGUCAGCAUACUGCAGUGAAUUCGUUCCCGGGCCUUGUACACACCGCCCGUCACACCAUGGAAGCUGGCAACGCCCGAAGUCAUUACCCCAACUUUUCAAAGAGGGGGAUGCCUAAGGCAGUGCUGGUGACUGGGGUGAAGUCGUAACAAGGUAGCCGUACCGGAAGGUGUGGCUGGAUCACCUCCUUUUAGGGAGACCUACCCAACUUCAGAACUCUCAAAAGCAACAGUGACUACAGAGACAUGAUGAGUCUACACUCUACCGUACGGUCGGUCGAGAUUUGUGUAGAAGC